CAGUAGCCGCGGUAAAACGGAGGGGGCUAGCGUUGUUCGGAAUUACUGGGCGUAAAGCGCACGUAGGCGGCUUGGUAAGUUAGAGGUGAAAGCCCGGAGCUCAACUCCGGAAUUGCCUUUAAGACUGCCGAGCUAGUAGGUGAGAGAGGUAAGUGGAAUUCCGAGUGUAGAGGUGAAAUUCGUAGAUAUUCGGAAGAACACCAGUGGCGAAGGCGGCUUACUGGCUCAUUCUAGACGCUGAGGUGCGAAAGCGUGGGGAGCAAACAGGAUUAGAUACCCCAGUAGUCCCUGUCUCUUAUAC
Molecule: ribosomal RNA, 301 nt
Filed under: uncultured bacterium
Lineage: Bacteria
Description: partial 16S ribosomal RNA
Rfam family: Bacterial small subunit ribosomal RNA
Source: RNAcentral